GUCCGGAAAACGGGCCAGGCGCGGACUUCGGUCUGGCGGCGAGUGGCGAACGGGUCCAGUAAUGUAUCGGAACGUGCCCAGUAGCGGGGGAUAACUACGCGAAAGCGUAGCUAAUACCGCAUACGCCCUUUGGGGGAAAGCGGGGGACCUUCGGGCCUCGCACUAUUGGAGCGGCCGAUAUCGGAUUAGCUAGUUGGUGGGGUAAAGGCCUACCAAGGCGACGAUCCGUAGCUGGUUUGAGAGGACGACCAGCCACACUGGGACUGAGACACGGCCCAGACUCCUACGGGAGGCAGCAGUGGGGAAUUUUGGACAAUGGGGGCAACCCUGAUCCAGCCAUCCCGCGUGUGCGAUGAAGGCCUUCGGGUUGUAAAGCACUUUUGGCAGGAAAGAAACGGCCUUGGAUAAUACCUGAGGCAACUGACGGUACCUGCAAAAUAAGCACCGGCUAACUACGUGCCAGCAGCCGCGGUAAUACGUAGGGUGCAAGCGUUAAUCGGAAUUACUGGGCGUAAAGCG
RNAcentral lists this ribosomal RNA (519 nucleotides) under Bordetella sp. RNAcentral's name for it is "bacterial SSU rRNA". It matches the Rfam family "Bacterial small subunit ribosomal RNA", at positions 53 to 567 of the family's 1533-position model. The record is from RNAcentral. Lineage: Bacteria; Pseudomonadati; Pseudomonadota; Betaproteobacteria; Burkholderiales; Alcaligenaceae.